This 670-nucleotide ribosomal RNA is filed under the name uncultured bacterium. RNAcentral describes it as "bacterial SSU rRNA". It matches the Rfam family "Bacterial small subunit ribosomal RNA", at positions 8 to 658 of the family's 1533-position model. The record is from RNAcentral.
AGGGUUUGAUCAUGGCUCAGGACGAACGCUGGCGGUGUGCUUAACACAUGCAAGUCAAGGAGAACUUUAUCUUCGGAUAAAUAUUAAACUGGCGAACGGGUGAGUAACGCGUAAAUAACUUGCCUUGGAGAUUGGGAUAACAUUGGGAAACCAGUGCUAAUACCAAAUAAUGCAGCGGGCCCUUCGGGGCAUUUGUUGUUAAAGUAGGCUUCGGCUUACACUUUGAGAUAGAUUUGCGUCCGAUUAGUUUGUUGGUAGGGUAAUUGCCUACCAAGGCGAAGAUCGGUAGCUGGUCUGAGAGGAUGAUCAGCCACACUGGAAUUGAGAUACGGUCCAGACUCCUACGGGAGGCAGCAGUGAGGAAUUUUGCACAAUGGGCGAAAGCCUGAUGCAGCAACACCGCGUGAUUGAUGAAGUUUUUAGGAAUGUAAAAAUCUGUCGUAAGGGAAGAAAUGUUUCAGAUGUUAAUACCAUCUGUCAUUGACGGUACCUUACAAGAAAGGACCGGCUAACUUCGUGCCAGCAGCCGCGGUAAUACGAGGGGUCCUAGCGUUGUCCGGAUUUACUGGGCGUAAAGGGUACGUAGGCGUUUUAAAAAGUUAUGUGUUAAAUACUUUAGCUUAACUAAAGAAGUGCACAUAAAACUAUUAAAAUAGAGUUUGAGAGAGGA